This 491-nucleotide ribosomal RNA is filed under the name uncultured bacterium. Its description in RNAcentral is "partial 16S ribosomal RNA". It matches the Rfam family "Bacterial small subunit ribosomal RNA", at positions 28 to 507 of the family's 1533-position model. The record is from RNAcentral.
GAUGAACGCUCGCUACAGGCUUAACACAUGCAAGUCGAGGGGAAACGACAUUGAAGCUUGCUUCGAUGGUCGUCGACCGGCGCACGGGUGAGUAACGCGUAUCCAACCUGCCUCUGACCAAGGGAUAACCCGUCGAAAGUCGGCCUAAUACCUUAUGCAGUCGUCGGAAGUCAUCUGAUGACGACGAAAGAUUUAAUCGGGGAGGGAUGGGGAUGCGUCUGAUUAGCUUGUUGGCGGGGUAACGGCCCACCAAGGCAACGAUCAGUAGGGGUUCUGAGAGGAAGGUCCCCCACAUUGGAACUGAGACACGGUCCAAACUCCUACGGGAGGCAGCAGUGAGGAAUAUUGGUCAAUGGGCGAGAGCCUGAACCAGCCAAGUAGCGUGCAGGAUGACGGCCCUAUGGGUUGUAAACUGCUUUUAGGCGGGGAUAAAGUGAGGGACGUGUCCUUCAUUGCAGGUACCGCAUGAAUAAGGACCGGCUAAUUCCGUG